RNAcentral lists this ribosomal RNA (484 nucleotides) under uncultured bacterium. RNAcentral's name for it is "partial 16S ribosomal RNA". It matches the Rfam family "Bacterial small subunit ribosomal RNA", at positions 30 to 507 of the family's 1533-position model. The record is from RNAcentral.
AUUGAACGCUGGCGGCAGGCCUAACACAUGCAAGUCGAGCGGAUGAAGGGAGCUUUCUCCUGGAUUCAGCGGCGGACGGGUGAGUAAUGCCUAGGAAUCUGCCUGGUAGUUGGGGAUAACGUCCGGAAACGGGCGCUAAUACCGCAUACGUCCUGAGGGAGAAAGUGGGGGAUCUUCGGACCUCGCGCUAUCAGAUGAGCCUAGGUCGGAUUAGCUAGUUGGUGGGGUAAAGGCCUACCAAGGCGACGAUCCGUAACUGGUCUGAGAGGAUGAUCAGUCACACUGGAACUGAGACACGGUCCAGACUCCUACGGGAGGCAGCAGUGGGGAAUAUUGGACAAUGGGCGAAAGCCUGAUCCAGCCAUGCCGCGUGUGUGAAGAAGGUCUUCGGAUUGUAAAGCACUUUAAGUUGGGAGGAAGGGCAGUAAGUUAAUACCUCGCUGUUUUGACGUUACCAACAGAAUAAGCACCGGCUAACUUCGUG